ACUAACGCACCAUACGCAUACAACUUACCUCGCUACGGUGACGAAAGCUGCGCUAUGCUGCUAUAUAAGCAAGCACUUCACACCGAACGGGCCCUUUUUCUCCAGCUCGCCAGCGAGGACGGUCGCCCAGCAAUCGGCAGCAAUAGGCAGCGCGAAGCCGAAGGACUAUCAUCACCGCCGGAUACAUCACCGUGCCAGCUUUAACAAGCGUCAACGCCGGGCACGUUAGUUUCACCCGUUUUCAUCACCGCCGUGCCGACUUCAUCAAGCGUCAACGCCGGGCACGCUAAUUUCACCCGUUUUCAUCACCGCCGUGCCGACUUCAUCAAACGUCAACGCCGGGCACGCUUAUUUCACCCGUUUUCAUCACCGCCGUGCCGACUUCAUCAAACGUCAACGCCGGGCACGCUUAGUUUCACCCGUUUUCAUCACCGCCGUGCCGACUUCAUCAAGCGUCAACGCCGGGCACGCUAAUUUCACCCGUUUUCAUCACCGCCGUGCCGACUUCAUCAAGCGUCAACGCCUGACUCAUCAAUCCCGUUUAUUUCCAUCGCGCUGGUCUGGCUGUCCGCAUAAGGAGUGGGGGUGUGGAUAUAACUUUACGAGGAUAAAA
Long non-coding RNA from Bactrocera neohumeralis, 613 nucleotides. RefSeq lists it as uncharacterized. The record is from RefSeq and is a predicted model, not a curated record. Lineage: Eukaryota; Metazoa; Arthropoda; Insecta; Diptera; Tephritidae. The transcript has 2 exons.